UACGUAGGGCGCAAGCGUUAUCCGGAAUUAUUGGGCGUGAAGAGCUCGUAGGCGGUUUGUCGCGUCUGCCGUGAAAGUCCGGGGCUCAACUCCGGUUCUGCUUCCGGUACGGGCAUGCUGGAGUGUGGCAGGGGAGACUGGAAUUCCUGGUGUAGCGGUGGAAUGCGCAGAUAUCAGGAGGAACACCGGUGGCGAAGGCGGGUCUCUGGGCCAUUACUGACGCUAAGGCGCGAAAGCGUGGGGAGCGAACAGG
Molecule: ribosomal RNA, 253 nt
Filed under: uncultured bacterium
Lineage: Bacteria
Description: partial 16S ribosomal RNA
Rfam family: Bacterial small subunit ribosomal RNA
Source: RNAcentral